UGCAUUUUCCAUCUGGUUUUUACUAAUUGCACAGGAAUUCUAGCCAUGCCCCCUUGCCCUUACCUCUUCACAGUCUGCAAACCAGACUGCUUCCCAAGUGCCAAAACUGGGGUCUUUUGUUUGCUGUUGAGACCUGCUUUGCCACCUGUAGGCCACAGAAUGAAUGCCCCUGAGAGCAGCUCUCAACUAGUAACUGACAAAAGUUGGUGGAUAAAUGCCCCAGCUCUCUCACCUUCCAAUGAGGGACUUCAGCCUACACCACACGGAACAGAAGAACUGCCCAGCUGAGCUCAGCCAACCAUAGAGUCAUGAGAAAUCAUCAUCAUUGUUCUCAGUCUCUGAGUUCUAGGACAGUUUGUUACUCAGCAAUAGGUGAUUUUGGAAGCCUUGUGAGAGAUGGUGCUGUUGCAAAAUGGAGGAAGACUGGAUCUCUGCAUCACCGCUUGGAGGCGAGCCCCUGCUAACUAGCUUACAGGAAUAAGAAACAAACUUGUGCUGUAUAAAGCUACCGAAGUUUCUGAUUUGUUUGUUAUUGGUACUGAAUAUAGCCUUAUGCUGUCUAGCAAGCAUCAUUUCUGGAAAAAGGAUGAAUUCUCAGGGAAUCUUGCAA
Molecule: long non-coding RNA, 610 nt
Filed under: Homo sapiens (human)
Lineage: Eukaryota; Metazoa; Chordata; Mammalia; Primates; Hominidae
Description: HSALNT0256109
Source: RNAcentral